UCCAGACUCCUACGGGAGGCAGCAGUGGGGAAUAUUGCACAAUGGGGGGAACCCUGAUGCAGCGACGCCGCGUGAGUGAAGAAGUAUUUCGGUAUGUAAAGCUCUAUCAGCAGGGAAGAUAAUGACGGUACCUGACUAAGAAGCCCCGGCUAACUACGUGCCAGCAGCCGCGGUAAUACGUAGGGGGCAAGCGUUAUCCGGAUUUACUGGGUGUAAAGGGUGCGUAGGUGGCAGGGCAAGUCAGAUGUGAAAGCCCGGGGCCCAACCCCGGUACUGCAUUUGAAACUGUCCGGCUGGAGUGCAGGAGAGGUAAGCGGAAUUCCUAGUGUAGCGGUGAAAUGCGUAGAUAUUAGGAGGAACACCAGUGGCGAAGGCGGCUUACUGGACUGUAACUGACACUGAGGCACGAAAGCGUGGGGAGCAAACAGGAUUAGAUACCCCCGUAC
Molecule: ribosomal RNA, 446 nt
Filed under: uncultured bacterium
Lineage: Bacteria
Description: bacterial SSU rRNA
Rfam family: Bacterial small subunit ribosomal RNA
Source: RNAcentral